CAGCCGCCGCGGUAAUACGGAGGGUGCAAGCGUUAAUCGGAAUUACUGGGCGUAAAGCGCACGCAGGCGGUCUGUCAAGUCGGAUGUGAAAUCCCCGGGCUCAACCUGGGAACUGCAUUCGAAACUGGCAGGCUAGAGUCUUGUAGAGGGGGGUAGAAUUCCAGGUGUAGCGGUGAAAUGCGUAGAGAUCUGUAGGAAUACCGGUGGCGAAGGCGGCCCCCUGGACAAAGACUGACGCUCAGGUGCGAAAGCGUGGGGAGCAAACAGGAUUAGAUACCCCGGUAGUCCCUGUCUCUUAUAC
This 301-nucleotide ribosomal RNA is filed under the name uncultured bacterium. RNAcentral's name for it is "partial 16S ribosomal RNA". It matches the Rfam family "Bacterial small subunit ribosomal RNA", at positions 509 to 807 of the family's 1533-position model. The record is from RNAcentral.